GCGGCGGAGAGGCGGCCAGCGGCGGCGCGGCGGAGAGGCGGAUAGCGGCGGAGAGGCGGACAGCGGCGGCGCGGCGGAGAGACGGACAGCGGCGGAGAGGCGGACAGCGGCGGAGAGGCGGACAGCGGCGGCGCGGCGGAGAGACGGACAGCGGCGGAGAGGCGGACAGCGGCGGCGCGGCGGAGAGACGGAUAGCGGCGGAGAGGCGGACAGCGGCGGCGCGGCGGAGAGGCGGACAGCGGCGGAGAGGCGGACAGCGGCGGCGCGGCGGAGAGACGGACAGCGGCGGAGAGGCAGACAGCGGCGGCGAGGCGCGCAGCGGCGGCGCAGGCGCGGAGAGGCGCUGGCGCCGGCUCUGGCGCGGAGAGGUGCAGGCCCAGGCUCCACUCCCCAGCUGUGAAAGGGUAAGAACCGAGGGUGGCUGAGACUCGGGGUUGUUCAGGGCGGGGUGGGCUCUGGACCCAGCAGGCCCGGCACCCAGGUCAGGGCUCCAGGGGAGGCCAGGUGGGCGAAGGCCAAGAAGGGGCUGGGGCUGGUCAGGAAGGGCUCCUGGUGACCAGAGCACUUUGCGUGAGCCAGCGUGGGAGGAAGGUGGGCUAGAUGAGCCAGGGAGGCGCCGGGAGGGGCCUUGGCAGAGGCGACCCCCUCCGUCACCCCCAGGCCACUGAACCCUGGGUAGCGAGAACCGACAGGGGAGGCUGCAGACAGAGGAGUGGAGGCUCCCCGGCUUUGGGGGCUCUGAGUAGAAGCAUCUAGGGGGUCCCUCAAGAGGCCCCCAAACGCUUCCCCAUGGUGAGAAAAGAAGGCGCAGAGAGGGGCACGGCGCCGGCGCAGAGGGGCACACAGCGAGAUUUGCUGUGAGUUCUUUUAUUGCCCCAAGUGUACCUCAUCUUGGUAGAUUUCUAUUGGCUUUAAAAAUGUGUGUGUUUUGCUGUUGGGGAGUGGGGUGUUAUACGGAUGUCAGAUUUUGCUGGUUGACUGUUCAGAUCUUUUGUAAAUCCUUGCUCCUUUUCUGCCUAGUUUCACUCUGUCACUUACACUAGAGUGCGGUGGCACGAACAUGACUCACUGCAGCCUUGACUUCCUAGGGUCAAGUACUCCCCCUGGCUUAAUCUCCUGAGUAGCUGGUACUAUAGGUGUGUGCCGCCACACCUGGCUAAAUUUAAAAUUUUUUGGAGAGAUGAGGCCUUGCUAUGUUGCCCAGGCUCGAACUCCUGGCCUCAAGCUAUCCUUUGUUUUUGCCUCCCAGAGUUCUGGGAUUACAGGCAUGAGCCACUGUGCCCGGCCUCUGCCUAGUUUUAACAGUUGCUAAGAGGAGGAUGUUGAAGUAGAUGUCUUCUUGGUGGGUUAAUCCUUUUGUCAUUAAGCAGUUGUUAUGGUCACUUCCUUUUCACCCCAUUGGUGAAGGAGGGGUCCCUGCCCUAAAGUGUAGGAGAUGGCCGAACAUGACACCUGGCGUGGAUGGAUGAGAUUGACAGCAGUGUUUUAGUCGCAUAUACCCACAGCUCGGAGGAGGACACUGCAUGCCACACAGGGUUUUCUGCCUCCUGCUAAGCCAAUUUAUACAUUCCAAGAAAAUCUUCCAUUUCAUCCAGGUGAAACGGAACCUACUGGAAUGAAGCUGGCCUCCCAUGGAAUGAAGCUGGCCUCCCGUCUCCUUGAUUUGAAGCAGCUUCUCCACGUUGGUUAUUAUGCCAUUUUUCUAAAUCUAACAUUUUAAAAUUUGUGCCUUUUCUUUCUCUUUUGCUUGACUUCUCAGAGGUUUUUUUAACGGUCUUUUCAAAGAAGUGGUUUUGGGUUUUAUUUAUCAAGUCUACUUUUAUUAUGGCUGUUUUAAAAUUAAAUACAUUUAUUUCUUGUUUCCCUUAAAAAAGCUUC
RNAcentral lists this long non-coding RNA (1878 nucleotides) under Homo sapiens (human). RNAcentral describes it as "HSALNT0304038". Lineage: Eukaryota; Metazoa; Chordata; Mammalia; Primates; Hominidae. The record is from RNAcentral.